GUGGCAUAUGGUGGAUGCCUGGGCACGUAUGACCGAUGAAAGACGUGUGGGGCCGCGAUAGGCCUCGGGGAGCUGCCGACAGGGCGUUGAUCCGAGGGUGUCUGAAUGGGGUAACCUGCCACCUGUUAUGGGGUGGUACCGCGUAUAUGCGGGGGGUACGCAGGGAAGUGAAACAUCUUAGUACCUGCAGGAAAAGAUAUUCCGUUAGUAGUGGCGAGCGAAAGCGGAGGAGACUAAACCAUGCGCGUGGUAUAAGCGCCUGCUGGUGCGUGUGUGGUGUUGUGGGGUUUCUUGAGGAGGUCAGGCGGCUUCCUGCCUAGUGAUAAAGUCUGGUGUGAGGUGAACAUGGUUGAAGACAUGACCGUAGAGGGUGAUGGUCCCGUAGCUGAAGAUGCCAGGCCUGGGAAGAAUGUCCCCGAGUAGCACGAGCCUCGUGGAAUCUCGUGUGAAUCUGCCCUGACCGUGGGGUAAGUCUAAAUAUAUGUACGUGACCGAUAGUGGACGAGUACCGUGAGGGAAAGGUGAAAAGUAGCCCGGGAGGGUAGUGAAAUAGUUCCUGAAACCAUGUGCUUUCAAUCCGUCAGAGCCUCUUUUGGGGGUGAUGGCGUGCCUAUCGAAAAAUGAGUCUGCGAGUCAGUGGCAUGUAGCGAGGUUAACCCGUGUGGGGGAUCCGUAGCGAAAGCGAGUGUCAAUAGCGCGUUUUAGUUGCAUGUUCUGGACCCGAAGCGGGAUGAUCUAGCCGUGAGCAGGUUGAAGCGUGGGUGAGACCGCGUGGAGGACCGAACCCACCUAGGUUGAAAACUGGGGGGAUGACUUGUGGUUAGGGGUGAAAGGCCAAUCAAAUUCCGUGAUAGCUGGUUCUCUCCGAAAUGCAUUUAGGUGCAGCGUUCGUGGUCGCCUUCCGGGGGUAGAGCUACUGGAUGCCAAAGGGCCCGUAUGGGGUACUGAUGGCAACCAAACUCCGAAUACCGGUAUGGUUGUGCACGGGCAGUGAGUCAGCGGGGGAUAAGCUCCGUUGUCGAAAGGGAAACAGCCCAGAUCGUCGUUUAAGGUCCCUAAGCGUGUGCUAAGUGGGAAAGGAUGUGGAGUCGCAUGGACAGCCAGGAGGUUGGCUUAGAAGCAGCUAUCCUUGAAAGAGUGCGUAACAGCUCACUGGUCUAGUGUCUCCGCGCCGACAAUGUAGCGGGGCUCAAGCACACCACCGAAAACGCGGCAGCCGCCUCUUUGUGGGGUGGCUGGGUAGGAGAGCGUUCCCUACGGGGUGAAGCCACGGGGUAACCGUGUGGUGGACUGUAGGGAAGUGAGAAUGCAGACAUGAGUAACGAAACGCGGGUGACAAUCCCGCGCGCUGGAUGACUAAGGGUUCCGGGGCCACGGUUAACGUCCCCGGGUGAGUCGGGUCCUAAGGCGAGGCCGACAGGCGUAGUCGAAUGGAUGAACGGGUUGAUAUUCCCGUACCGGUAUCACACCGCCCACACUCGAGGCAUCACACGCUAGGCACUGUUUCCUUCCUGUAGGCCCUUUCGGGGGUGUACAGGGGGUGGUGGUGUGCUGGUGGUGGGUGUAGUAGGGGAGCAGGGGAGUGACGCAUGGGGUAAGCUGGCCUGGCCUGGUGGUUAUGGCUGGUUAAGCGUGUAGCAGGUGUCAGAGGCUAAUCCCUGACAGCAGACUGUGAGACGUGAUGAGCAUCAUCUUUAGGGGUGGUGUGCUGGUGGUGCCUUGUGCCGAGAAAAGCUUCACUGUUAGGUGUGGUUCCGCUCGUACCCUAAACCGACACAGGUGGUCAGGUAGAGAAUACUAAAGCGUUCGAGUGAAUCCUGGUCAAGGAACUCGGCAAAUUGCUCCCGUGCCUUCGGCAUAAGGGAGGCCCUGUGAGAUGAUCCCGCCUAGCGUGGGUGAGUGUUGUGGGGCGGCACAAAACAGGGGGUAGCGACUGUUUACCAAAAACACAGGUGCAUGCCAAGACGUAAGUCGCUGUAUAUGCACUGACGCCUGCCCGGUGCUGGAAGGUUAAGAGGAUCCGUUAACCCGUCUGGGUGACGCGGUGAAUUUAAGCCCCAGUAAACGGCGGUGGUAACUAUAACCAUCCUAAGGUAGCGAAAUUCCUUGUCGGGUAAGUUCCGACCUGCACGAAUGGCGUAACGACUUCCCCACUGUCUCGACCAGGACCUCGGUGAAAUUGCAGUACGAGUAAAGAUGCUCGUUAAGCGCAGAAGGACGAAAAGACCCCGGGACCUUUACUAUACCUUGGUAUUGUCGUUCGCUGCUGGUUGUGUAGAAUAGGCGGGAGACUAUGAAACCCGGCCGCUAGGCUGGGUGGAGUCAUCAAGUGAAAUACCGUUCUGCUGGCAGUGGGCGUCUAACCUGAGCAUGUUAUCCAUGCUAGGGACAGUGCCUGGCGGGUAGUUUAACUGGGGCGGUUGCCUCCUAAAGAGUAACGGAGGCGCUCAAAGGUCCGCUCAACCCGGUUGGCAAUCGGGUGUUGAGUGUAAUCACACAAGCGGGCUUGACUGUGAGACUGACAGGUCGAGCAGGGACGAAAGUCGGAGAUAAUGAUCCGGUGCCGGUGUACGGACGCGGCAUCGCUCAACGGAUAAAAGGUACCCCGGGGAUAACAGGCUGAUCAUUCCCAAGAGUCCAUAUCGACGGGAUGGUUUGGCACCUCGAUGUCGGCUCGUCGCAUCCUGGGGCUGGAGCAGGUCCCAAGGGUUUGGCUGUUCGCCAAUUAAAGCGGCACGCGAGCUGGGUUCAGAACGUCGUGAGACAGUUUGGUCUCUAUCCUCUGCGCUCGUUGGAAUCUUGAGGAGCCCUGCCCAUAGUACGAGAGGACCUGGGUGGACGAACCUCUGGUAUGCCAGUUGUCACGCCCGUGGCACUGCUGGUUAGCUACGUUCGGAUAGGAUAACCGCUGAAAGCAUCUAAGCGGGAAGCCUUCUCCAAGAUAAGGAUUCCCCCACACCUUUGAGUGUGAAGAGUCCCCCCACCAGACCAUGGGGUUAAUAGGCCAGACGUGGACACAUGGCAACAUGCGCAGCUGACUGGUACUAACGGACAACAGCACCAAC
This 3065-nucleotide ribosomal RNA is filed under the name human oral metagenome. RNAcentral's name for it is "bacterial LSU rRNA". It matches the Rfam family "Bacterial large subunit ribosomal RNA". The record is from RNAcentral.